UUUGUGGGCUUACAAUUUUAAAAAAAUUUGUCACCUACGUGGCCCGUAUGACCCAUCUCUCCCGAGCCUCUCUUCAUACCGUAUUGGUGGCAGCCCAUUACCCAUCUCUUGAUACGGUUCGGGUUACAUCGCUGUCCUCUCUGAAAUAUCAAAAUCACUAACCCUAAUCACCGUUCUCGAUCUCUUUGUCGAUUCUCUUUCUCUCCCCCAAAUUUUGAUUUUCUUUAGCGGCCAAGGUACUUCAAUGUGCUCUCAUAAAGCCUUCAAUGUUUUCUUCAACCAUGCUGUUGCCUGUUGGUGAUGUUUUCAAUUUAAUAUGCGGAGAGGAUGAGAUCGACUUGGGGAGAGGAGGUUAUUGUUUGGAAUUGAAACCCGAAAAUGGAUUUCACAAUCGUAAGCUCUCACUUCUUUGGGCUCGCUUCGUCUUCUUAAAGAGGCUUUAUCGGCUGCGUUGAGGCUGUAUCGUCCGGUGCCGGAGUUCUUCAACCCCGGCUUGAAGGGCGACAAGAUACGACAUGGGACUUUUGUUCCGCAGUGAUGUUUUUGAUUUACUUGGCUGGGAGGAUGAGAUCGACUCUGGGAGAUUUUGUUUCGAGUUCAAACCGGAGAGAUUGACUUUGAAAUCGUACGCUCUUAGUAUACAUAAUUAUGGGCCAAUACACACAGAUUACGAUUCAACAGCAACUAAAGUUGUUACUUGGCUUUCUAUUUCAUGAAGCACAGAACGUAGUAUAUAAAAGGAAACAGGAAUUCACUUUGCAAAUAUUCUCUGUGUCUUUGGAUUAAUCUAUAAUCUUGUGAUGUAGAUAGAUACAAAAGCUUCUUACGGAUCUCCAUGGAGAAGAGAAUUCAUGAAGGUAACCUGAAACAACUCUCUAUCUCUUGCAAGUGGAUGCCACACUAAUGUCAUAGUUUGGUAAAAUUCCAGAUUAAGUUUUGGUGAAUGACGUUGUGUUUUGUACCGAAGAUAAGAACUCAUGUUCGUUAUGGGAAGCAGUUAUCACAAUACAACCUUACUUAUCGAAUUUUCAUCAAGUAAUAUUACAUGAUUUAUAAUUAGUUGUGUAUUUUAUGACUUUUUAUAAGUGUGGUUGACGAUAAAAAUGACAAGCUAUCACAAAAGAUACCUCAAGUUCAGGGCUUACUCGGAAGCUUCCAGUUACCAACAAGUAUGUGAAGCCAAUAUGUAUAGGAUUUGGAGAGGCGGAGGACCACGACCUUGAAAAUCUGAAGAAACAGCUCGAAGAUGAUGAUCUCAUCAGAGGUACAAUAACUGCGGAACAUCAAGGCAGUGAAGAGUCUGGCGUUAAUUAGCUGAUACAAAAGACAACCGCGCAUACAGCUGAGAGGGUCACGUGGUCUAAGUCUUGAAUUAACGUUUGAGUUGUUCCGUUCAGUGACAAAGGCUUCUGUCCAUUCCAAGUCAAGCAGGUACACAUAUGAAUCCGGCUCCUGUGUUUAGAAUCAAGAAACAAAGUUCCUUCGCGUCAAAGGCUUGUGUGCGAGUCUCUUCAGUGCUCUCUUUGGCUUUCUUAUGUUCGAUUCACACAAGUAUUGGUCUUCCACAACAAAGACUCAUCCACAUUAUUACAUGUUCUGCUAUAAACCUUUUCUUUUACCUCUAGGCUCAUUGUCAAUACCAAAAUACAGCUGCGUUUUGACCUUGAUUAGGUGUGAUUGUGACUCUCUUUCACUUCCUCGAUGCACAUGGCUACACUUUUCUUUGCGGUGGUUGAGAUGUCGAUAGACAUAAUCACUCUUGGGAAAAUCAAGGGACUGCUCAGCAUGGGUCGCCUCUUCUGCUUGAAAUAUUGGAGACCAAUGAGUUAGAGUUUAGAGACAUCAAUUGGUAGAUUCAUACAAUAUAAGCUUAGAGUUUUGUUUCUUCUUUGUUUUUCCGGUUGAUUGGUUUUAAGAAAUGGAAUCCUUUCUCUCAAAAGAUUAUAAGCAUAUUGUAGUGUCAGAUGGCUUGAUGAUUCUUCGAUUUUGAAACCAGAAAUCUAUAUUCCUGCCAAAA
This is a long non-coding RNA of Brassica napus (rape), 2017 nucleotides long. RefSeq lists it as uncharacterized. Lineage: Eukaryota; Viridiplantae; Streptophyta; Magnoliopsida; Brassicales; Brassicaceae. The record is from RefSeq and is a predicted model, not a curated record. The transcript has 4 exons.